This 16-nucleotide small RNA is filed under the name Arabidopsis thaliana (thale cress). RNAcentral's name for it is "ATSL060740". Lineage: Eukaryota; Viridiplantae; Streptophyta; Magnoliopsida; Brassicales; Brassicaceae. The record is from RNAcentral.
UUUUUUUUUAGUUUUU